GACGAACGCUGGCGGCGUGCUUAACACAUGCAAGUCGAACGGUGAAGCGCUUGCCUUUUUGGUGGGUGUGGAUGAGUGGCGAACGGGUGAGUAACACGUGAGUAACCUGCCCUCUUCUUCUGGAUAACCUCAUGAAAGUGGGGCUAAUACGGGGUAUUCCGGGUCUGUCGCAUGGCGGGUUUGGGAAAGAUUGCGCCUUUGGGUGUUUUCGGUGGGGGAUGGGCUCGCGGCCUAUCAGCUUGUUGGUGGGGUGAUGGCCUACCAAGGCGGUGACGGGUAGCCGGCCUGAGAGGGUGGACGGCCACACUGGGACUGAGACACGGCCCAGACUCCUGCGGGAGGCAGCAGUGGGGAAUAUUGCACAAUGGGCGCAACCCUGAUGCAGCGACGCCGCGUGAGGGAUGGAGGCCUUCGGGUUGUGAACCUCUUUCGCCAGUGAAGCAGGCCUGCUCCUGUGUGGGUGGGUUGACGGUAGCUGUAUAAGAAGCGCCGGCUAACUACGUG
RNAcentral lists this ribosomal RNA (504 nucleotides) under uncultured bacterium. RNAcentral's name for it is "partial 16S ribosomal RNA". It matches the Rfam family "Bacterial small subunit ribosomal RNA", at positions 28 to 507 of the family's 1533-position model. The record is from RNAcentral.